CUUUGCCAUACACCCCCCCUCCCCUUAAAAUCUGGUUGCCUAUGACAACCUGGCAUAUCAUUUUCUUUUUAUAUUAUUCUUAGGCCCCUCGUUGCCAUAACAACUGAACAAUGCUUUUAAAUAUAGCAGUUAAUUUUUCAGGCUGAGGCAACAGAGUUCUUACCCGUCCAAGAGGCAAACAGCUGUUUUGUCUCCUGUCACUGAAGACCACUCUCCACCCCCAUGCCAGGCCAAAUGCCUGACUUUAAUGCCCUUUGAGAUCUAAGGAACAGCCUAAGGCCUUUUACGAGCAUGGUUGUCUCAGCUUCCAGGAAUCUCCGAAACCUCUAGAUUAUGAGCUCACAGUUGGCUUGUGGCAGGUAAGAGUCUCUUUGAGUUUCAAGGGAUUCUAGGGCAGCAGAAAUGCGGGGGCGGGGGGGUCACAA
RNAcentral lists this long non-coding RNA (425 nucleotides) under Phascolarctos cinereus (koala). Its description in RNAcentral is "lncRNA (ENSPCIG00000031146.1)". The record is from RNAcentral. Lineage: Eukaryota; Metazoa; Chordata; Mammalia; Diprotodontia; Phascolarctidae.